Molecule: non-coding RNA, 75 nt
Organism: Podarcis lilfordi (Lilford's wall lizard)
Lineage: Eukaryota; Metazoa; Chordata; Lepidosauria; Squamata; Lacertidae
Source: the annotation of a GenBank genome assembly
GGCUGGGUAGCUCAGCUGGGUAGAACCUGGUGGUGAUAACGCCGAGGUUGCAGGUUCGAUUCCCCCCUAGAGGCG